GCUAGGUGUGGUGGUGCACACCUGCAGUCACAGCUCCUUGGGAGGUUGAGGCGGUAGGAUCACUUGAGCCCAGGAGUUCUGGGCUGUAGUGUGUUAAUGCCAGUUGGGCAUUAACUUAGUGUUUGCACUAAGUUCAGCAUCAGUGUGGUGACCUCCCAUGAACAGAAGACUAACAGGUUACCUAGGGAAGGGUGAACUGACCCAGGUUGGAAGUGGAACAGGUCAAAACUCCAGUGCUGAUUAGUAGUGGAAUCACACCUAUGAAUAGCCACUGCUCUCUAGUCUGGGCAGCAUAAGGAGACCCUGUCUCU
RNAcentral lists this signal recognition particle RNA (311 nucleotides) under Mandrillus leucophaeus (drill). RNAcentral describes it as "Metazoan signal recognition particle RNA (ENSMLEG00000001490.1)". It matches the Rfam family "Metazoan signal recognition particle RNA". Rfam says of the family: The signal recognition particle (SRP) is a universally conserved ribonucleoprotein. The record is from RNAcentral. Lineage: Eukaryota; Metazoa; Chordata; Mammalia; Primates; Cercopithecidae.